GACGAACGCUGGCGGCGUGCUUAACACAUGCAAGUCGAACGGAAAGGCCCUGCUUUUGUGGGGUGCUCGAGUGGCGAACGGGUGAGUAACACGUGAGUAACCUGCCCUUGACUUUGGGAUAACUUCAGGAAACUGGGGCUAAUACCGGAUAGGAGCUCCUGCUGCAUGGUGGGGGUUGGAAAGUUUCGGCGGUUGGGGCUGGACUCGCGGCUUAUCAGCUUGUUGGUGGGGUAGUGGCUUACCAAGGCUUUGACGGGUAGCCGGCCUGAGAGGGUGACCGGCCACAUUGGGACUGAGAUACGGCCCAGACUCCUACGGGAGGCAGCAGUGGGGAACAUUGCACAAUGGGCGGAAGCCUGAUGCAGCAACGCCGCGUGCGGGAUGACGGCCUUCGGGUUGUAAACCGCUUUCGCCUGUGACGAAGCGUGAGUGACGGUAAUGGGUAAAGAAGCACCGGCUAACUACGUG
Molecule: ribosomal RNA, 468 nt
Filed under: uncultured bacterium
Lineage: Bacteria
Description: partial 16S ribosomal RNA
Rfam family: Bacterial small subunit ribosomal RNA
Source: RNAcentral